CCUACGGGUGGCACCAGUGGGAAUAUUGCACAAUGGGCGCAAGCCUGAUGCAGCCAUGCCGCGUGUAUGAAGAAGGCCUUCGGGUUGUAAAGUACUUUCAGCGGGGAGGAAGGUGUUGUGGUUAAUAACCACAGCAAUUGACGUUACCCGCAGAAGAAGCACCGGCUAACUCUGUGCCAGCAGCCACGGUAAUACGGAGGGUGCAAGCGUUAAUCGGAAUUACUGGGCGUAAAGCGCACGCAGGCGGUCUGUCAAGUCGGAGGUGAAAUCCCCGGGCUCAACCUGGGAACUGCAUUCGUAACUGGCAGGCUAGGGUCUUGUAGAGGGGGGUAGAAUUCCAGGUGUAGCGGUGAAAUGCGUAGAGAUCUGGAGGAAUACCGGUGGCGAAGGCGGCCCCCUGGACAAAGACUGACGCUCAGGUGCGAAAGCGUGGGGAGCAAACAGGAUUAGAUACCCGCGUAGUC
This 464-nucleotide ribosomal RNA is filed under the name uncultured bacterium. Its description in RNAcentral is "bacterial SSU rRNA". It matches the Rfam family "Bacterial small subunit ribosomal RNA", at positions 338 to 795 of the family's 1533-position model. The record is from RNAcentral.